Molecule: transfer RNA, 73 nt
Filed under: Cricetulus griseus (Chinese hamster)
Lineage: Eukaryota; Metazoa; Chordata; Mammalia; Rodentia; Cricetidae
Rfam family: tRNA
About the family: Transfer RNA (tRNA) molecules are approximately 80 nucleotides in length. Their secondary structure includes four short double-helical elements and three loops (D, anti-codon, and T loops). Further hydrogen bonds mediate the characteristic L-shaped molecular structure. tRNAs have two regions of fundamental functional importance: the anti-codon, which is responsible for specific mRNA codon recognition, and the 3' end, to which the tRNAs corresponding amino acid is attached (by aminoacyl-tRNA synthetases). tRNAs cope with the degeneracy of the genetic code in two manners: having more than one tRNA (with a specific anti-codon) for a particular amino acid; and 'wobble' base-pairing, i.e. permitting non-standard base-pairing at the 3rd anti-codon position.
Source: Rfam by way of RNAcentral
GCCCAGCUAGUUCAAUCGGUAGAGCAUGAGACUCUUAAUCUCAGGCUCAUGGGUUGGAUCCCCACGUUGAGCA